This 253-nucleotide ribosomal RNA is filed under the name uncultured bacterium. RNAcentral describes it as "partial 16S ribosomal RNA". It matches the Rfam family "Bacterial small subunit ribosomal RNA", at positions 524 to 776 of the family's 1533-position model. The record is from RNAcentral.
UACGUAGGGUCCGAGCGUUGUCCGGAGUUACUGGGCGUAAAGCGCGCGCAGGCGGCUCGGCAAGCAUGGCGUGAAAGCCCCCGGCUCAACCGGGGAGGGUCGUCGUGGACUGCCGGGCUUGAGGGCGGGAGGGGCUGGUGGAAUUCCCGGUGUAGUGGUGAAAUGCGUAGAGAUCGGGAGGAACACCCGUGGCGAAGGCGGCCAGCUGGACCGACCCUGACGCUGAGGCGCGAAGGCGUGGGGAGCGAACGGG